AAAUAUUCUGGUAGACACUGCUACAGAAAAAGUGAGCUUCAAUCAUUAGUAUUCAAAAAGUUUUUGACAGGUAGUGGCACAAGGUUUUGUUGUGAUUUCAUCCCUUUUAAAGUUCUCUCAUCAGUUUUCUUUCACUUUCUGUUACUAGCCUGUGGAAAAAUCACCAGCUGAGCGUGAGCGAGAAGCAGAAAGGGAGCGAGACCGCCAUUCUCCUUUCAGUCAGAGGCAUCUCCAUACCCACCACCAUACACACGUUGGAAUGGGCUAUCCUCUUAUACCUGGACAGUAUGACCCAUUUCAAGGAUUGACCUCUGCUGCCCUUGUUGCCACUCAGCAGGUGGCUGCACAGGCAUCUGCAUCUGGUAUGUUUCCUGCACAAAGAAGAGAAUGAUGAAUUUGGGGAUGAACAUUGUCAUGUGACUGGAUCACAUGAGGAAGCGCUUUAUUACAGACAUCAGUUCCAUGGUGUUAAUUUGAAAUGCCUUAAUGGCAGGCAAAAACCAGUCAUUUCAUUUUUGUAAAUUGCAGAUUUUAUCACAG
Molecule: long non-coding RNA, 540 nt
Filed under: Serinus canaria (Common canary)
Lineage: Eukaryota; Metazoa; Chordata; Aves; Passeriformes; Fringillidae
Description: lncRNA (ENSSCAG00000005183.1)
Source: RNAcentral